UGGGGAAUAUUGGACAAUGGGGGCAACCCUGAUCCAGCAAUGCCGCGUGUGUGAAGAAGGUCUUCGGAUUGUAAAGCACUUUCGACGGGGACGAUGAUGACGGUACCCGUAGAAGAAGCCCCGGCUAACUUCGUGCCAGCAGCCGCGGUAAUACGAAGGGGGCUAGCGUUGCUCGGAAUGACUGGGCGUAAAGGGCGUGUAGGCGGUUUACACAGUCAGAUGUGAAAUCCCCGGGCUUAACCUGGGAGCUGCAUUUGAUACGUGUAGACUAGAGUGUGAGAGAGGGUUGUGGAAUUCCCAGUGUAGAGGUGAAAUUCGUAGAUAUUGGGAAGAACACCGGUGGCGAAGGCGGCAACCUGGCUCAUGACUGACGCUGAGGCGCGAAAGCGUGGGGAGCAAACAGGAUUAGAUACCCUGGUAGUCCACGCUGUAAACGAUGUGUGCUAGAUGUUGGGUAACU
RNAcentral lists this ribosomal RNA (460 nucleotides) under uncultured bacterium. Its description in RNAcentral is "partial 16S ribosomal RNA". It matches the Rfam family "Bacterial small subunit ribosomal RNA", at positions 355 to 832 of the family's 1533-position model. The record is from RNAcentral.